Oreochromis aureus is the source of this 642-nucleotide long non-coding RNA. The record is from Ensembl. Lineage: Eukaryota; Metazoa; Chordata; Actinopteri; Cichliformes; Cichlidae.
UCACAACAAUAGCACAAUGAGGAAGUUACCUUUUUAUGGUCUUGUUCACUUUAUAGAUCACUCACUCAGGUAUACAGGUGUCACAGUUCAGUUGUGAGGAUUUCCAGAAACAGGAAAGAAACUGUUCUUCCUGCUGCUGCUUCUGAUCUGCUCACAAAUCAGAUGGAGGCAGAUAAAGAUAGAGAUACUGCUAACCAGCACAUCGCACUCCAGCAACCCUAUCCUCAGGACAUCCACGCUGUGCUGAGAGAGCUGACCGCCGCAUUGGCUGAACAGAGGGUGAAGAUUGCAUUCCUAGAAAAAGAGAAUCAAGACCAUGUGACAAAACUGAAAGAACUGGAAAAAAAGGAGAUUGAGACUGACAAGAAGUUGCAGCAGCUACAAGGUUUCCCUGUAGAGGCUGUCACACCUCGUCUCACCCACUGCACCACAAAGAAAUGAGAAUCCUCAGAAAAAUGGACCUGAAGAAGGAGCUGCUGACCGUCUUCUACCGCUGCUCCAUUGAAAGUGUGCUGACAUAUUGCAUCGGUGUAUGGUUCUCCAGCUGCACCACAGCACACAGAAAGGCACUCCAGAGGGUCAUCAAUAUGGCCCAAAAAAUCAUUGGACAUCCUCUUCCCUCCCUGAAGGACCUGUACAGCA